GUGCUUACGUGGCAGCACAUACACUAACAUUGGAAUGAUUCAGAGAUUAGCAUGGCCUCUGAACAAGGAUCGCACUCACGUUUGUGAAGCGCCCCACUGGUUG
This is a small nuclear RNA of Mus spicilegus (steppe mouse), 103 nucleotides long. The record is from Ensembl. Lineage: Eukaryota; Metazoa; Chordata; Mammalia; Rodentia; Muridae.